UGUAAACAGUCAAUGAGAUUAUUAGAAGUGAUAAAAAUGGAAAUGCACAAGAAGUACAACAUACUAACAAAAAAUUUAGAGCAAGGACUGACAUGACGAUAGGAAAAAUGAAUCAAUGAGGUUAUUAGAAGUGAUAAAAAAAGAAAUGCACAAGCAAUGCAAAAUACUAAAAAGAAUUCUAGGAGGUUUCACAUGACUACGGGCAAAUGAUUUUUGCUUUCAGCGAAUUUAUGGAGACAACAGGUGGCUCUGAGCUUGGCAACCUAGCAUGUACUGAAUAUAUCUCUGAAUGACUUACUGCAAGUGUGUGUCAUUAAAGUAACGAAUUGUUCUUCACAAGCUUGAUUCCUGAUAAUCAAGGGCCAAUGCAUCAGACAGCUGCCACUGCAAUGUAUAGAAAAGAGACCAAGUUGAUGCAAAACUCCUACAUAUUACAACACCGCUGCCACUGCAAUUCAGGC
RNAcentral lists this long non-coding RNA (461 nucleotides) under Triticum aestivum (bread wheat). RNAcentral describes it as "long non-coding RNA (TAES_LNC002458)". Lineage: Eukaryota; Viridiplantae; Streptophyta; Magnoliopsida; Poales; Poaceae. The record is from RNAcentral.